RNAcentral lists this ribosomal RNA (470 nucleotides) under Glaesserella parasuis. Its description in RNAcentral is "bacterial SSU rRNA". It matches the Rfam family "Bacterial small subunit ribosomal RNA", at positions 1 to 472 of the family's 1533-position model. Lineage: Bacteria; Pseudomonadati; Pseudomonadota; Gammaproteobacteria; Pasteurellales; Pasteurellaceae. The record is from RNAcentral.
GAAUUGAAGAGUUUGAUCAUGGCUCAGAUUGAACGCUGGCGGCAGGCUUAACACAUGCAAGUCGAACGGUAGCAGGAAGAAGCUUGUUUCUUUGCUGACGAGUGGCGGACGGGUGAGUAAUGCUUGGGAAUCUGGCUUAUGGAGGGGGAUAACUACGGGAAACUGUAGCUAAUACCGCGUAGUAUCGGGAGAUGAAAGACUGGGACCGCAAGGCCAGUUGCCAUAAGAUGAGCCCAAGUGGGAUUAGGUAGUUGGUGGGGUAAAGGCCUACCAAGCCGACGAUCUCUAGCUGGUCUGAGAGGAUGACCAGCCACACUGGAACUGAGACACGGUCCAGACUCCUACGGGAGGCAGCAGUGGGGAAUAUUGCACAAUGGGGGGAACCCUGAUGCAGCCAUGCCGCGUGAAUGAAGAAGGCCUUCGGGUUGUAAAGUUCUUUCGGUGAUGAGGAAGGGUGGUGUUUUAAUAGA